Non-coding RNA from Oryctolagus cuniculus (rabbit), 6164 nucleotides. NCBI's taxonomy places the organism in Eukaryota, Metazoa, Chordata, Mammalia, Lagomorpha, Leporidae. The record is from RefSeq and is a predicted model, not a curated record.
CCCCAGGCCUGAGGUCCUGUGCGAUCAUUUGUCAUCCUCAGGUUGGUGACCCCAGCAAGGACAGAUUGGCUGUGCCGGCACGGGCAGAGGCACGUUGCGGGCAGUACUCAGCAGUUUGGUCUUGGUAGGGUCACUUUCCAUCUCUGAGCGUCAAGCCUCCUGGCCUCCAUAUCAGUGCCCCGUGCUGCGGCCGGCCUGGUUCGCGGGCUGCAGGAAGCCCUGUCACUGGCUCCAGCCACUUCCUGGAAGCUCCACGCCCCGCUGUUGGGUGGGCGUCCAGAGGGCUCCAGGAACGCGACCAGGGGUUCUGCCUGUUCCAGAACUUGCUCUGGGUGAGAAAACAGAUGUUCUGGGCUUUGAUUUUCUUCAGGCAAGGUGCUGGCCCCACCCCAAAGUCUUCGCAGGGGGCUGUGUGAGCUGGGUGGUUAGGGCGGCCCUUUCGAGUUUCAAUGUGCAAACGAGGUGGGUGACUGUGGGCUGGGGGGUUUCCUGGAGGGAGCCCAGGACCCUGCGACACCAGGGCUGUUGCAGCUCUUAAGUGCCCGGCUGCAAGUAGCUGAGCCCCACAGGGCACCCUGGGACAUGACUCACUCUGCAGGCCCUGUCGAGCUCCAGGCGGCCCCGGCCUUCCUGGCCUCCUCCCAUGGGCUCGCCUGGACCCUCCUCUGGUAGCACAUCUGGAACCCAGAGGCAGCGGUUUCAGGGGCCCCAGGCACAGCUCCUGUCCCAGCCAGCCUUGCUGCUCCUUUGUCCCUUUGCUCAGACCCAGCUGCUGGGGGAACAGAGCCUCCCUGGGGGGUUAGCGAAGCCUGGUCCAGCCCAGGAGCCUUUUGGUUUGUAUUUCUCAAGUCCUUGAAACCUUACAGAAGAAAAUGAAGGAAGGGAGUGGGGUGGAGAGAGAGAGGGAGGGAUGGAAACUUGGGCUUUGGCAAAAGAGCUGCCCUGGGAUUUUCUCCUUUUCUUCUCUUGCUUGCUUUCCCCAGCCGUGAACUUACCAGGCUUUGAGAUGAAAGGACAGGGGCCCCUCUAGCUGUCAGAAGGCCUGUGUGGGAGCAGCGAGCCCGCGGGGCCCCGGCCUCCUGCUCUUUGUCCUGGAGGACCGUCCAGUUAGGACACACUGGCAAGGCCUGGGGUGUCCACGUGUGCACCUCACACAGCCCACCCACCGGCCCGAGCAUCUCCAUACCCGCCUCACUGCUACUCCCAAGAAUCAGAGGAGGAAGAGGAAGGAGACAGGUGCCCACCGUGCUCCCACCUUGUCUUCUUCCCACGGCCCAUUAGUCUCUGACAUAAAUUUUGUUUUGAAAGAUGUAUUUAUUUAUUUGAAGGCAGAGAGAGAGAGAGAGAGAGAAUCUUCCAUCUGCUGGUUCACUCCCUUGAUGGUCAAAAUGGCCGGAGCUGUGCCAAUCUGAAGCCAGCAGCUUCUUCCAGGUCUUCCAUGUGGGUACAGGGGACCAAGCACUUGGGCCAUGUUCUACUGCUAUCCCAGGCCAUAGUAGAGAGCUGGAUCAGAAGAGGAGCAGCCUGGACUAGAACCGGCACCCAUAUGGGAUGCCGGCGCUUCAGGCCAGGGCUUUAACCUGCAUCCCCAACAUCAAUUUUUAAAAAAGAUUUAUUUAUUCAAAAGGCAAAGUGACAGAGCUAGAGCUAGAGACAGAGACGGCGAUAAGAUGGAUACAGGGAGGGAGUCUCGCACCACAAGCUGGGAAGAGAGCACAGGGCAAGCCCCGGGGUGCUCUCCGCCAGCCACCCUGAGCCCAGACCGCGGAGGAGCCCUCUGGAGUCCGGCAGCAACUCUCUCUCCUCAUCCCCAACCAUGAGCUGCUUGCUGCUUCUAGUGAGCAAAGCAGAUUUCCUCGGAAGGUGUCUGCUGGGACAGAGAUGCCGGCACGUGCUGCCCUCCCAUGCUGUCCCCUCCGGCCCCGCAGAGCCCCAGGAGGGCUCCGGAAUGUUCUUCGAGUCCUUUCCCUCUCGUUUGUCAUCCAACAGCAGAGAGGUGCUGGAAGGGUCAGCUUGUGGCAUAGCUGCCCCGGCUACGUGUGGCGUCCCCCUGGUCUGCCCAGGGCGGGGGCCAGGAGUCCCCGCCAGGAAGCACGCUAGGCAGUUGCCCAGAGUGGUGAUGUGAGCUGCCCGGAGUCACACAGCGCCUCCUGCCCCCAACCCGGCUUUGCUUUCAUUGCCUUCCUUCCAGGGGCCGCUGCGGCUCGUUUCACACCGAGCAGCGGGAGCAGCAACCGCGGCACACGCGGAGGGAAGCAAAGCUGGGGGCUGGACGCGGUGGGGAGGGGGAGGCUGAGCGCAUUCUUGUCCCCCCCACCCCGGUGGGGCAGCAGCGGCUUCCCAGCUACUUGGGGGCAUGGGAGAAGGGUGGGCGGCAGAAGGCGCCGGGGGUCUGGAACCUGGCUUUCACCACAGGCGGUGAGCAGCCAGUGCCUAAUGACUCCAAGCUGUUCUGGAACAUUCUCGCAGCUCCGGGGAGCUGCCGGGGGAGUCUGGCUGCCGUUCACAGCAGCUGUGCGAGCUGCCUGCCGGCAGUAAGCCCAGCCACCAGGGACCACUAGUGACCACAGCCCCGGGGCCACGGCAGCAGGAGGACAGGACAGAGGCUCCUUCCUUCCCGCACACUGACAGGCCCGACAGCAGGGCUGUGCGGAGGGACAGACUCCUGUCUGCGCAUGCCCCCGCCCCUUCCUCUGGGUAACAGCUGAGUGCUGCGGCCAACGUGCUACUGUGUGACCUCGGACAACUGACUUCACCUCUGAGGCACGCAUCUCCCUCGCGGCGUUACGGUGAGGAAGACACGAGCAAAGACUCAGCCAGGAACCAGGAUGCUUGCUGGGAUCACCACGGUCAGCCCCCAGCUCCCUCUGGCCUCUCUUCAGCCCACACUCCCUGGUCCCCUGUCUGCCCUUGUCUCCUGGUGUCACGCAGAAGACGGGCAAGGCCAAGGUCUUGGUCUGUCGGCAGAGAUGCUGAUCCUCCGUGGAAGCAGACAGUGCAUUCCUCACACGGAUGGUGGCAGGAAAGGCAGCCAAAGAUACCAUCUCCUGGCUCCUUGUCCCGUGCACCAAGAACAACACCAAAACAAAGGGGCCUUCAAGGGCUGGCACAUGUGCAACACGGCUGCUGGGGGCCAGCACCAGGUCAUGGUGGAGUAGUUGGGCCCCCCUUGCAACCCGGGAAGAGGAGCAGGGAGGGGAGUGGGAGCUGGUCUCUCAGUGGCUCCUCAUGGCCUCCCAGCUCUGGGGUUCUGGGGGGAUCCCAAGGUACUCUGCCAAGAGCUAGAUGGGCUGGGGCUCCGGCCCUGGCCUGCGUGGCCCGGGUGCCCCAGCAGAGCCCCUCUCCUAUGCUGGCUUCCUCAGCCUCUCUUUCUCCCGCAGCAAUGCAGCCCCGCCAGGAGCCAACAGGAGAAGCCCCCGGGAGCCAGACUUGGCCAAAGCCCUCUCUGUAGUACCGGGCCAGUAACGGUGAUGAUGUGUGUGAGCAUGCUCCGGCCAAGCCUUUAUGUGCGUUCAAUUCAACAAACUCCAAACAGCGCGGCUGCUGUCCCGGCUCCCUUCACACAGGACCCCGGGCGCCAGAGAGCGUAACUGGCCAGGAAGGUCUGCCCUCUGGGUACCGGCACCCACCCGCCGUGGGCUCUGACCUCUGCACACAGCAGGCGCUAUGAGACAGUCACCAAGUGGCUCACGUGGUGCCCAGCUUGGCAGCGCUGAGUGGUGGCACAAGGAGGAGACAAGAGGACAUCCUUAAGGAAAGGGAGCUGCACUUCCGGGAACAGGAUCCUGCACAUCACCGCCACCAUCACCUUCACAACCAUCAUAUGUGUAAUCACAACAGAAGUGCCAGAUCCCGUCUGCUCCCCAUUUUCUGCAAGCAAGGACGCAUUAAACACUGUAUCUUCCUGCUCGAGUCUCACAACGCUUCCGUUCCUGGUGCUGUCACGGCCACUCCCAUUCUCCAGUUGAAAAGAUUCACAGAAGCUGUAUUUGGUGGCGAUCGCAGCACUCCCAGCCGGUAGAGGCAGGAUGCAAAUGCACAUCUGUUGGACCCCACACGCCCUGCUUUUAAUCCCCAUACUGAUCACCACGGAGGACCCACACACAGCCAGAGGCCACCUCCCAACGCUGCUUCCCAUAGCCUCCAUGGCAGAGCCACCUGCCGGGAAGCCCUGAGCCCAAUCUGCUAGCAGAAACCGUGCCCCAACUCUGAUAACACAGACACAGCCUUGGAGAGGGCCAUUUGGCAGAAGCUAGCGAAAAUAAAACAUGUCACCCUCCACGAUGCAGCUGCUCUCCUUCCACAGGGGCACACGGGAACACAUGUGCAAAUGUUUGCAUCAGACGACCUGUGGGCACGCGGGACACACACGUGUGCAGAUGUAUACGCGGUACGCACCCACAGAUGUUCCUAGCGGGGGACCUACGUGUUGCUUGUCAGCGGGGGAUGGUUACAUAAGCCCUGUGCCUCUGCAAGGUGGCUGAGACAGCUGCGAGGAUGAAUGGGGCAGACAUAUGUGAGCCGACGUGGGACGAUCUCCAAGACACAUGGCGAGCAGGAGAAAGCAAGCUGCAGAACACUAUGUGAGGUGUGUAUAUAAAACGCCCAAAACAAAUCCAAAUGAUAUAUAGGUGUAAAUAACCACCGGGAAGACGGACCACAACCAGGAUCCUGCGCUGUAAACAGGAGCUCCCCCCGGGAGGGCCCAGGCGCGGAGAGUAGAGGGGAAGGAGAUGCGUACGGCUCCAGCUCUCUGCGCGGGUGUGGAUCUGCUCGUCCUAAUGAGAACAGGGUUCAUCAUUCGCUUUUGGAACUAAAAGGCACCAGCCCGGCCAGGCUCAGCAGGAGGCAGCAGCGUGGCCCGCCCUGGCUGCUGUUGUGGGCAGCUGGUGGGGGCUGAGGGGCUGGUCAGGUGGCCUGCCCCAGAAGCCCCGGGGAACACCCACCUGUUGCUCCCUAACAGGCUCACUGACAGCCCACCUGCUCAACAGGGCAGGCCCAGGGGAUGGAGCCACCCGGAAUCCUGCAGAGGGAAAAGGAAUCAGAUCCAGUAGCAACCCUGGCCAUGGUCCCCGCAGGCAGUGGGAAGUGGCCAAUGCCUGUGGAGCCGAGGUGUGGGUUUGGGAUUGGGAGGGGACAAGCAGCAGAACUCACCCCCUCCCCCAGUGAAGUGGGCGGCCUCUCCCAGCCCCCUCAUGAGCCCCUUCCCCGCUCAGGGUUUCAGAGGCUUGGAGCCUGCCUCUGAAGCCCAUCAGACCGGAUUUGGAUCUACCUGUGAUCAGCUUUGCUGCCUGCGGCUCCACUUGCACCAGGCUAUCAGCAGAGAGCUGGAUUGGAAAAAGAACAGCCAGGGUGUGAACCAGCGCCCACUUGGGAUGCCAGCAUUUCAGGCAGCAGCUUUACCGACCAAACCACCUGGAUGAAGCUCCUGGCUCCUGGCUUCUGGCUUCAGCCCGGCCCAGCCCUGACUGUCUGGAGGGUAAAGCAGCAGAUGGAAGAUUCUCUCUCUCUCUUUCUCUCUCUCUCUCUCUUUGGGUCUCUCUCUUUCUGUCUCUCCCUGGGUCUACUUCUCUUUCAAAUAAAAAAAGCAACAACUAUUUUGCGUCCUGAUUCACACGGCUCACAAUGUGCUCAGAGCGUAUAAUUUACUGGUGGUUGCGAUAGCCGCAGAGCUGUGGACUCAGCACCACAGUAAGUCUAGAAUAGUUUCCUCACCCCAGAAAGAAACCCCAUGGCCCUGGCGGUCGUCCUCUGCUCCCCACCUCGUCCCCAGCUCUAGGCAACCGUUAACUGCCCCCCACCCCGCCCCCACAUUUGCCUGCUGUGGGCCUCGUGUGUGAAGGGAGUCUUCACCAUCGAGUAGGAUUCCACCGUGUGGUUGCGCCCCUUGUCAGGAUACACGGCAGGUGCCUUCCGUCCGUCUUGACUGACAUGGUGCAAUGGUGCACAAGCCUUGUGUGGACAUGUUUGAUUCUCCGUGUACAUGUGUGGGCCUGGAAUAGGGUCACGUGGCCACUGAUUUCAGCCGUUUCCACAGCUGGUAGCCUGGCCUUAGGUACCGGUCAGCGGUGAGGGAGAGGCUCCCAACUUCUCCGCAUCUGUGUACACUUACCAGUCUGUCCUGUGACGUUAGCCGUCCUGUGGGUGCAAAGCGGUAGCUGGCU